This is a long non-coding RNA of Micropterus salmoides (largemouth bass), 779 nucleotides long. RefSeq lists it as uncharacterized. NCBI's taxonomy places the organism in Eukaryota, Metazoa, Chordata, Actinopteri, Centrarchiformes, Centrarchidae. The record is from RefSeq and is a predicted model, not a curated record. The transcript has 2 exons.
AAAAUUCCAUGGUCCCAUUUUUUUCUCAGUCACCCGAACACACCACCAGACACACCCUUGAGUCACAUGGUAGUUUCAACCUAUCACAGCGCUCGAGCGCGUUUUACAAGCUGAGGUGAGUUUCCCCAAUUAGUAGUGUGAGGGGGAAGCCACCCCAGCAGCUGCACUCGUUAUGUCUCUACACAAACAAUGCUGUUUUUGCUUAUUUUCCAUCUUAAAUGCUUGUUUGACUCUAGCAUGCGAUUGUGUAUUUGUAGUGCCCACUACCGUGGUCCUUAGAAGCCGACUGGUGCCGCGGUGUGUCGAAUAUCUGCGGGAAUUGGCCAGGUGAGGCCAGUUGCGGGUCAGUUGAUGGUGAGCUACUACCUGGAACAGAACCUGCCCCAACAACCUCAUCACCCCCUGUGGGUUUGGUAGGAGGCUGUUGCAGCUUUGCUCACCCCCACCACUCUCAUUCACACACGGCCAUUCAGUAAGCCUUGGCUUAUGGACUAUUUGUGUUCCACGGAUCAUUCUCGUCAUUUGGACAUAGCGUUCAUCUUUCAUGAACAAAAGAAAAUGUCCUACAGUGUGUUGUGACUGUCCUUAUAUCUGAGUACUCCUCAAUUUGUUGCUUUUGUUUAUUGUUUCUGUGAACUGAGUCAACGGAACUAAAUUUCCUCAAGUGCACUUUAUCAAAACCAACGUUUCUGCAGAUUGUAAAUAUUUUGGUUUUUUUUUUUUUUAUUAUUUUUUUGUCCUUGUUUCCACAUAAUAUAUGGUACCAACACCAAAUAUAA